GACGAACGCUGGCGGCGUGCUUAACACAUGCAAGUCGAACGGAAAGGCCCUGCUUGCAGGGUACUCGAGUGGCGAACGGGUGAGUAACACGUGGGUGAUCUGCCCUGCACUUCGGGAUAAGCCUGGGAAACUGGGUCUAAUACCGGAUAGGAGCCAUUUUUAGUGUGAUGGUUGGAAAGUUUUUUCGGUGUAGGAUGAGCUCGCGGCCUAUCAGCUUGUUGGUGGGGUAAUGGCCUACCAAGGCGGCGACGGGUAGCCGGCCUGAGAGGGUGGACGGCCACAUUGGGACUGAGAUACGGCCCAGACUCCUACGGGAGGCAGCAGUGGGGAAUAUUGCACAAUGGUCGCAAGCCUGAUGCAGCGACGCCGCGUGGGGGAUGACGGCCUUCGGGUUGUAAACUCCUUUCGCUAGGGACGAAGCUUUUUGUGACGGUACCUAGAUAAGAAGCACCGGCUAACUACGUG
RNAcentral lists this ribosomal RNA (465 nucleotides) under uncultured bacterium. Its description in RNAcentral is "partial 16S ribosomal RNA". It matches the Rfam family "Bacterial small subunit ribosomal RNA", at positions 28 to 507 of the family's 1533-position model. The record is from RNAcentral.